Megalopta genalis is the source of this 890-nucleotide long non-coding RNA. RefSeq lists it as uncharacterized. Lineage: Eukaryota; Metazoa; Arthropoda; Insecta; Hymenoptera; Halictidae. The record is from RefSeq and is a predicted model, not a curated record.
GUGUGCACAGUCAAUCGAAAUGUUAAACAAGGUUGCUAUUGUAUGUCGCGGGCAUGCGAACUGCAUGCAAGAAAAUCUGGUUGCUCUGUUCGAGAUGGUAUUUAACUGACUGUAUUUUAUUUGCACAAGGGAGAAGUUUAGUACACAAAUUAAUUCUCUCCGCAAAUAACGAAUUUACAAAGUUACAAUCGACAUUCCGGAAAAGAAGUGCACAGAGUUCAGUAAACUAAUCGUGCUAGUGGACAUAAGCAACAAUGGAACAGUGCGAUGCUCGCGUCGCUUCUGCAGAACAGUUUUUUCGAACCAAUGGAAAUAGAUAUUACAGAAGCCACUCCAGAGGGCAACAGAGAGACAUUGUUCGCUACACCGGAGCUAUUCAUCCCAGUGGUUCAACAGAGAAGUCCGAAUGAAGUUAAUCGAGUCAAACUCGAGUGAUACAUCUGAACUAAUUGAUCUUUUCCUGGAAAUCCUCCGCCGUCGAUAUACGUAUCGCCAGUGAUGCUUCCCGAAGGAGACCACUGAGCACCGAGCUGUAUUAUUGAAUUUCAGAAACGAAUCUGACGGAAUUCCAAGCAGCUGGACCCUCGCAUGCCCAUACUAACCAUGAUCCAGAUCCCGAGUCCAUGGCGGCAAGCAAUUACAUUAUAAUGGAGGCACCUACAUAGACGGUCGUACAAUUUCCCAAUGAUUAUUCAGUCAUCCAAAUUAAAUGGAAAUCCUAAACGAAGACGAUAGUCGGUGGAAGAAAAUUUUGUCUUAACGUUUUUCGUAAUUGGAAUUCACUCUGUGCACGGAGGAGGGUUAUCUUGCAAUUUGGAGACAUUUUGUAAAGUUCAGAUGAGUUUGUACAUGGUGCAAGUAAAAUAUAUUAACAAAUACAUUCAUUUAAA